RNAcentral lists this ribosomal RNA (431 nucleotides) under uncultured Desulfobulbus sp. RNAcentral's name for it is "bacterial SSU rRNA". It matches the Rfam family "Bacterial small subunit ribosomal RNA", at positions 955 to 1382 of the family's 1533-position model. The record is from RNAcentral. Lineage: Bacteria; Pseudomonadati; Thermodesulfobacteriota; Desulfobulbia; Desulfobulbales; Desulfobulbaceae.
UGCAACGCGAAGAACCUUACCUGGUCUUGACAUCCCGGAGACCCUUAGGAAACUAGGGGUGCUUCCAUCUGGAAGAAUCUGGAGACAGGUGCUGCAUGGCUGUCGUCAGCUCGUGUCGUGAGAUGUUGGGUUAAGUCCCGCAACGAGCGCAACCUUGCCUUUAGUUGCCAGCAGUUCGGCUGGGCACUCUAAAGGGACUGCCGGUGUUAAACCGGAGGAAGGUGGGGAUGACGUCAAGUCCUCAUGGCCUUUAUGACCAGGGCUACACACGUACUACAAUGGCCGAUACAAAGGGCAGCGACACUGCGAGGUGAAGCCAAUCCCGUAAAAUCGGUCUCAGUCCGGAUUGGAGUCUGCAACUCGACUCCAUGAAGUUGGAAUCGCUAGUAAUCGUGGAUCAGCAUGCCACGGUGAAUACGUUCCCGGGCCUU